GCCGAGUGAGGGAUGACGGCCUUCGGGUUGUAAACCUCUUUCAAUAGGGACGAAGCGCAAGUGACGGUACCUAUAGAAGAAGGACCGGCCAACUACGUGCCAGCAGCCGCGGUAAUACGUAGGGUCCGAGCGUUGUCCGGAAUUACUGGGCGUAAAGAGCUCGUAGGUGGUUUGUCGCGUUGUUCGUGAAAACUCACAGCUUAACUGUGGGCGUGCGGGCGAUACGGGCAGACUAGAGUACUGCAGGGGAGACUGGAAUUCCUGGUGUAGCGGUGGAAUGCGCAGAUAUCAGGAGGAACACCGGUGGCGAAGGCGGGUCUCUGGGCAGUAACUGACGCUGAGGAGCGAAAGCGUGGGGAGCGAACAGGAUUAGAUACCCUGGUAGUCCACGCCGUAAACGGUGGGUACUAGGUGUGGGUUUCCUUCCUUGGGAUCCGUGCCGUAGCUAACGCAUUAAGUACCCCGCCUGGGGAG
This 474-nucleotide ribosomal RNA is filed under the name uncultured bacterium. Its description in RNAcentral is "bacterial SSU rRNA". It matches the Rfam family "Bacterial small subunit ribosomal RNA", at positions 396 to 880 of the family's 1533-position model. The record is from RNAcentral.